CCAGACUCCUACGGGAGGCAGCAGUGGGGAAUAUUGGACAAUGGGCGCAAGCCUGAUCCAGCAAUGCCGCGUGAGUGAUGAAGGCCUUCGGGUUGUAAAGCUCUUUCGCACGCGACGAUGAUGACGGUAGCGUGAGAAGAAGCCCCGGCUAACUUCGUGCCAGCAGCCGCGGUAAUACGAAGGGGGCGAGCGUUGUUCGGAUUUACUGGGCGUAAAGGGCGCGUAGGCGGCGAUGAAAGUCAGGCGUGAAAGCCCCGGGCUCAACCUGGGAGGUGCGCUUGGGACUACAUUGCUGGAUUCGGGAGAGGAGCGUGGAAUUCCCAGUGUAGAGGUGAAAUUCGUAGAUUUGGGAAGAACACCGGUGGCGAAGGCGGCGCUCUGGACCGAUACUGACGCUGAGGCGCGAAAGCGUGGGGAGCACACAGGAUUAGAUACCCUGGUAGUCCACGCUGUACACGAUGUGUGCUAGACGUUGGGGAGCCUAGCUCUUCAGUGUCGCCGCUAACGCUUUAAGCACACCGCCUGGUGGAGUACGGCCGCACGGUUA
This 547-nucleotide ribosomal RNA is filed under the name uncultured bacterium. RNAcentral's name for it is "bacterial SSU rRNA". It matches the Rfam family "Bacterial small subunit ribosomal RNA", at positions 331 to 896 of the family's 1533-position model. The record is from RNAcentral.